Molecule: long non-coding RNA, 1287 nt
Organism: Misgurnus anguillicaudatus (oriental weatherfish)
Lineage: Eukaryota; Metazoa; Chordata; Actinopteri; Cypriniformes; Cobitidae
Source: RefSeq, a predicted model, not a curated record
AGACCUUAUAGGCCAGUAGACAUAGUCGAACAAAGUCUGAGGCUAUAGAAGAUGGCUGCAUUAGUGGCCAAGGGACCUUCGCUGUCACACACCUGCUGCAAGCCCAUGGCACAAUGCCAGCUGAGGUCAGUUAGCCCGCCAGGCACAUUACCCUGGCAGCAGUUGCCAAGGUGACAGCAUGUCAGAGCCUGCCCAUUGAAUAGUACCGGGGGCUGACAGCCAACGCAUCGCUGCCUGUGACCGAUCCUUGGAACCUGUGGAAAUGGGGACCAAAACCACACAUAAAAAUGCUUAACGGCAUCUUGACUCUACACGUGGCAAGGGCCACGCUGCUAUAGUGUCAUUAGGGCUUCUGUAUCAAAGCACCAUGAUAAGGGCGGCAGAGAGGGGAAAAUAUCACAUACACAAUGUCAUAUUUAUAACAGUGGGGCUUCAGUUAUCCUGUGUUUGCUGUUAAUUAUUGCCACAUUGCAACACCAGACUUGGAGCUCCACAGGAAACAAACACUGAUUAACGUGAUUGGGCCUGCUGAGAAUUGCAGUCCGGUUGAAGUGUGCUGAUUGUUGAACCGUUCCCACCCUCUCACCCCAGCAGUCUUGCCCUGUUGCCCUCUCUCUGAGCCUUGAGAAGCAGGUCAGUGGCAGUUACUUCAAAAGAUGUCUGGGCUUUGCAUAAUGCAAAUAAGUCUAAGAAAAGAAAGUUUUAUAACUCUUCAUGUUUUUGAAAUGAUAGAGAAUGCAUUGAUUAAUAGGCGAUGGCGUAUAAAUGGCAAACCCGUAGUAAAAAAGCACAAGAAAAUAUUUUUAUAUUUUAUUUGAACUUUAUGUAGAUUGAUGCCUGGCAGGGCCGCUCUUUCAUAUUCAUGCUCAGCACUUUGGUUGCACGAGGGAGAGGGGGAGAAGGAAGUCUGUGUGGCUCUUUCCUGUCUCAUUCCUGAGUCUCACGGGCUCAUGUUUCACCUGCUACUAGCACAUGUGUAUGUAAGUGUAUUUAUCUUUGUGUUUUUUGAGCUAUGAAUUCCUUCCCUUUAACAUUUGAACUGCGUGACCAGAUGGAGUAGGGGGACGCCAUUGGAAGUUUUCAAUUAAAUGGAAGUUCUUGAAUGAACUGCUUCACUAUAUUGUCAGCUGAUGUGCAAAUAUACCUGAGGGUUGCAUUGCACUUAUGCUGUUACAGACUGAUCAUCACUGCCCCCUACUGGUUUUGCAUUUGGAAAUGACACAAUCGAAAUAAUUGUAAUGAUGUAUCAAGUAACAAGUUUAAUGCUGUUUAAUGGUGCACUACACU